UACAGAGGGGGCAAGCGUUGUUCGGAAUCACUGGGCGUAAAGGGCGCGUAGGCGGCUUUUCAAGCGUGCGGUGAAAGCUCGGGGCUUAACUCCGAGUCUGCCGUGCGAACUGGGAGGCUUGAGUCUGGUAGAGGUCGAUGGAAUUCCGGGUGUAGCGGUGGAAUGCGUAGAGAUCCGGAAGAACACCGGUGGCGAAGGCGGUCGACUGGGCCAGAACUGACGCUGAGGCGCGACAGCGUGGGGAGCAAACAGG
Molecule: ribosomal RNA, 253 nt
Filed under: uncultured bacterium
Lineage: Bacteria
Description: partial 16S ribosomal RNA
Rfam family: Bacterial small subunit ribosomal RNA
Source: RNAcentral